This 449-nucleotide ribosomal RNA is filed under the name uncultured bacterium. RNAcentral describes it as "bacterial SSU rRNA". It matches the Rfam family "Bacterial small subunit ribosomal RNA", at positions 328 to 794 of the family's 1533-position model. The record is from RNAcentral.
UUGCCAGACUCCUACGGGAGGCAGCAGUAGGGAAUUUUGCGCAAUGGGCGAAAGCCUGACGCAGCAACGCCGCGUGAUCGAGACGCCCUUCGGGGUGUAAAGAUCUGUCAGUGGGGACGAAACUUGACGGUACCCACAGAGGAAGCACCGGCUAACUCCGUGCCAGCAGCCGCGGUAAUACGGGGGGUGCAAGCGUUGUCCGGAAUCAUUGGGCGUAAAGAGUUCGUAGGCGGCACGUAAAGUCUGGUGUUAAAGGCAGAGGCUCAACUUCUGUACGGCACUGGAUACUUGCGAGCUAGAAUGCGGUAGAGGUAAAGGGAAUUCCUGGUGUAGCGGUGAAAUGCGUAGAUAUUAGGAGGAACACCAGUGGCGAAGGCGGCUUACUGGACAGUAACUGACGUUGAGGCUCGAAAGCGUGGGGAGCAAACAGGAUUAGAUACCCUUGUAGG